CCAAUAGCGUAUAUUAAAGUUGUUGCAGUUAAAAAGCUCGUAGUUGAACUUCGGGGUUUACCCAUUGGUCAGGCUUAAUUGUCUGUACUGGUGAGCUAAAUCUCUACCUUCUGAGGAACUUUCAUGCCAUUUAUUUGGUGUGAUGGGAAAUCAGGACUGUUACUUUGAAAAAAUUAGAGUGUUUAAAGCAGGCUAACGUCUGAAUACAUUAGCAUGGAAUAAUGAAAUAGGACGGACUGAUUCUAUUUCGUUGGUUUCUAGGAUCACCGUAAUGAUUAAUAGGGAUAGUUGGGGGCAUUAGUAUUCAAUUGUCAGAGGUGAAAUUCUUGGAUUUAUUGAAGACUAACUACUGCGAAAGCAUUUGCCAAGGAUGUUUUCAUUAAUCAAGAACGAAAGUUAGGGGAUCGAAGACGAUCAGAUACCGUCGUAGUCUUAACCAUAAACUAUGCCGACUAGGGAUCGGAUGAUGUUAAUUUUUUAAUGACUCAUUCGGCGCCUUACG
This 502-nucleotide ribosomal RNA is filed under the name uncultured Glomeromycotina. RNAcentral's name for it is "partial small subunit ribosomal RNA". It matches the Rfam family "Eukaryotic small subunit ribosomal RNA", at positions 591 to 1092 of the family's 1831-position model. Lineage: Eukaryota; Fungi; Glomeromycota. The record is from RNAcentral.